Molecule: ribosomal RNA, 504 nt
Filed under: uncultured bacterium
Lineage: Bacteria
Description: bacterial SSU rRNA
Rfam family: Bacterial small subunit ribosomal RNA
Source: RNAcentral
GAUGAACGCUAGCGACAGGCUUAACACAUGCAAGUCGAGGGGCAGCGGGGUGUAGCAAUACACCGCCGGCGACCGGCGCACGGGUGAGUAAACGCGUAUGCAACUUGCCUAUCAGAGGGGGGUAACCCGGCGAAAGUCGGACUAAUACCGCAUGAAGCAGGGGGUCCCGCAUGGGGAUAUUUGCUAAAGAUUCAUCGCUGAUAGAUAGGCAUGCGUUCCAUCAGGCAGUUGGCGGGGUAACGGCCCACCAAACCGACGAUGGAUAGGGGUUCUGAGAGGAAGGUCCCCCACAUUGGUACUGAGACACGGACCAAACUCCUACGGGAGGCAGCAGUGAGGAAUAUUGGUCAAUGGCCGAGAGGCUGAACCAGCCAAGUCGCGUGAAGGAAGAAGGAUCUAAUGGUUUGUAAACUUCUUUUAAUAGGGGAAUAAAGUGGAGGACGUGUCCUUUUUUGUAUGUACCCCUAUGAAUAAGCAUCGGCUAACUCCGUGCCAGCAGCCGCA